Molecule: long non-coding RNA, 1626 nt
Organism: Equus asinus (donkey)
Lineage: Eukaryota; Metazoa; Chordata; Mammalia; Perissodactyla; Equidae
Source: Ensembl
AUUCAUCUGUUGAAACCUAAUCCCCAGUGUGAUGGUAUUCACAGCUGGAGCUUGUAGGAGGUGGUUAGGUUAUGAGGGUGGAGCCCUCAGGAUUGGGAUUAGCGACCUUCAAAGGUGACAGUAGCAUGCUCCUUCCACCAUGUGAAGAAACAGUGGGAAGAUAGCCAGCCAUCUUUGAACCAGGAAGAAGGAUCUCAUCAGAUACCCAGGCUGCCAUCCCUGUUAUCUUGGACUGCCCAGCCUCCGGAACUGUUCUUUCAAUUGGUAACUGCAAGUUCAAACUGAACAUUUUACAGCAUAUGCCAAGACCCUUGCAAUACAAAUGAGCUUUGAAGGCUGAAUCCAGACAGAUGUUUAGACCCUCUAAGGCAAUGCUUCUCCAAGGGAGGCACCAAGAGCAUCUGCAUCAGAAUCCUCUGAGGCACAUGCCUUGACUAUAAUGCCAUGCUCAGGAUGUAAAAGAGGCAUACUCCAAAGGGCAGCAUUUUAAGUAAAAGCAUCAAAUCAUAACCAAACGACUUCCAGAGAAAUCAGCCAAGAGACUGCAGCAAGAGAUCAUAUGGCUUUUCUGCCUUAUUCUACUCAUAUGAAAGUGACGUUGACUGGUUUUCAAUUGAUGGACGAACCUUGUAUGGCUGGAAUAAGCCCCACCUGGUCAUGAUGUAUUAUUCUCUGCACAAAUUGCUGGAUUCAUUUGCUAUGUUGUUAAAGAUUUUGUGUGUAUGUUCAUGAGGGAUAUUGAGCUUAAAAAGAACCUGGAAUGGUGAAUCUGCUUUGAUGUUUCUAUCCAUGAAGAAUAUCUGAUGGAGUAUAAUAUUUCUGCCUUGAGGAGGAUGGUGGGCCCUUAAUCCAAUAUGGCUGAUGAUCUUAUAAGAAGAGGAGGAGAGACAUAAAGACAGAGACACACACGGAGAAGUUGAUCAUGUGAUGAUGGAGGCAGAGAUUGGAGUGAUGUAUUUAAAAGUCAACGGAUGUCAAAGAUUGCCAGCAAUACUAGAACCUAAGAUAAGAAUUUUGCAGCAUCUCCCAGAUCUGUGUGGAAUUUGUUCAGAUUAAAGCUCCCGGCUGUCCUUCUUGGUCCUGCCUUGUGAGUUUCUCCUUGUGAAUGCACAGGUUUAUUUGGAUUCCCAUUUUUAUUCGGGUUUCUAGUGGUUACUGUAGAAAUCCCAGCAUGCUCCUCUAAGUCUUCUGCGGCCCUGGGAAGUGGUCUGCAUCCGCCUCUGAGGCUCUCCUUUCACAGAUCAGACCUUCCUAAAUACAAAGAGUCAUUCUCAAGAAUGCGAACAAUGACUUUAUUUGUGAAAAUGAAUAACACUGAAAUCUUAUUUAUUGAUUCAGAAGAGGACUUAAGAUAUAUCAUUCUGGAUCCCUUAUAUUCAGAUCCUCAUUAGUGAAAACUGCCAAAAUUCAUCUAAUCAGUUUUCACAGCAACAUUUAAGAAAUACAAUAUGCUUAUAACUUUACAAAGAGAGGAAUUUCAGAAAGUACAAUUUUGAAUUCCAUCAUUACUACUGCAAUCAUAUUCUCAAGGUAUGAGGCAAAAUAAUGUGGAACUGCUAGUUACAUGUAAGUAUAUUUGACAUUUUCAGCAGUCCUCCUCCAAAAGAAAAGAAAAAGAGAGAAUGA